UACGUAGGGCGCAAGCGUUAUCCGGAUUUACUGGGUGUAAAGGGAGCGCAGACGGCAGUGCAAGUCUGAUGUGAAAGCCCGGGGCUCAACCCCGGAACUGCAUUGGAAACUGUACAGCUUGAGUGUCGGAGAGGUAAGCGGAAUUCCUAGUGUAGCGGUGAAAUGCGUAGAUAUUAGGAGGAACACCGGUGGCGAAGGCGGCUUACUGGACGAUGACUGACGUUGAGGCUCGAAAGCGUGGGGAGCAAACAGGAUUAGAUACCCUGGUA
This 269-nucleotide ribosomal RNA is filed under the name uncultured prokaryote. RNAcentral describes it as "partial 16S ribosomal RNA". It matches the Rfam family "Bacterial small subunit ribosomal RNA", at positions 524 to 792 of the family's 1533-position model. The record is from RNAcentral.